RNAcentral lists this unclassified non-coding RNA (276 nucleotides) under Trechisporales sp. RNAcentral's name for it is "partial contains small subunit ribosomal RNA, internal transcribed spacer 1, and 5.8S ribosomal RNA". The stretch from base 1 to 46 matches the Rfam family "Eukaryotic small subunit ribosomal RNA", at positions 1786 to 1831 of the family's 1831-position model. The record is from RNAcentral. Lineage: Eukaryota; Fungi; Basidiomycota; Agaricomycetes; Trechisporales.
AAGUCGUAACAAGGUUUCCGUAGGUGAACCUGCGGAAGGAUCAUUAUUGUAAAACAGAGGGGGUGUCUUCCUCCCUGCUCCGGCUUUGCGGCCGUGAGCGGGCGGUCGCGCUCCUUUCCACAACCAAACCCCUGUGCACAUCUCUGGGGACUUCUGGUGGGUUUGCGCCUGCCGAGUCCCUGGCUUUACACAAACUCUUCUAUGUAUUUAGAAUGUUCAAGGACCUCGCGUCCUGUUAACAAAUAACAACUUUCAACAACGGAUCUCUUGGCUCUC